GGCAAAAUCAACCUGUUCAUCUUCACCCCCGCGAGCAACUCAUAACACUUGCACAAGAAUAUGAGAUCUCAUCACAUGAGUGCUUCAACACUCCUCCUACACGAGGGAAGGCUUCAGUUGUCCUCUGGUCUACGGGUUAAAGUUCGCUACAUGGAGCGGGUCGCCCCCUCAGGAGCUGCAACGUUGACAUCACAUGACCAGUGUCACGCAAGUAAGGAUGCAGAACCCUACGUCUUUAUUCUAGGACUACAAAAAUACCCUUUGUAUGCUGCAAGCGGGAAGGUCAUUCACUUUUGAUCAUACUCUUAAACGACAAUGCAUUUUACAAAGUGAUAUUCAGUCACGUUCCACAAUCACUGGAACAGCAAGAAGAACAUAGAUUGUCUGUAAAUGUACAAUAGCUGGAUAAUCUGGUGUAGAAGGAUAGUGUUGAACCCAGAAUACCUUUUUCCCCAAAAUGCUAAGAAAUGUGGCUGUGAGCAACGGAAACAUUACAUGGGUAAACGAUCACUAAACGACUAGUUUCAAAAAUAUAAUAGUCCUUGCUUCUUUUUGUGUAGAAAUAGUCUAAUUUUUGGCUGCAAAAUGAACAAAUUUCUCAUGCAAGAACAGAUUAAAAUUCUUUUUGGCCAAUCGAAA
Megalobrama amblycephala (Wuchang bream) is the source of this 639-nucleotide long non-coding RNA. RefSeq lists it as uncharacterized. The record is from RefSeq and is a predicted model, not a curated record. Lineage: Eukaryota; Metazoa; Chordata; Actinopteri; Cypriniformes; Xenocyprididae. The transcript is spliced from 3 exons.